GAGAUUCAGAUUAUGAAUUUAAAUUUAUUUAAAAUAUUACUUCAUAAAUAAUAUGGUUGAAUAAGUUGGGACUAGAAAGUAAAAAUGUUGUUAGCCACAUAACGAGUUCACUUAGAAAAUGUAGACACAUAUGUUUUAUACAAUUAUAGAAAUAUCAUACUACUAUAUGCUCCCGGGCCAUUCAUAUAUCGUAGUGAUUAUUGCUUAUUUACAUUGGUACAUAUACUAUUUAUAGAUUAUACAAUAGUAUAUGCAUAUUUCAUAUUUUGAGCAUUCUCCUAAGCAGUCACGAACACCUGUCAAAUGUUAGUAUUCUAAUACUAUCAUUUUUGGAAUUGUAAUAAAUUGUAAUAACUGUACAACAGCAUAACAAAUAUAAUUCCACAAGUGAAGUCGUGAGAGUGUAAAGUGUACGCAGACCUUACCACUACUUCAGCGAAGUACAAUGGUUGUUUUUUAAACACAAUAAACAAAACAUAAAAGAUAAUAUUAUUUCUAAGCAUGUGGUUUGGGCCCAGACAUGUAUUGCAAGUUUUCACAGUGUAAUGUUAUGUCAACACCCAGUCACUCCAGCAUUUUCAAGAAUCUAGGAAACAUAUAUCAAUCUUACCCACAACAUACAUAUACACAAUAAAACAAAAUAAAAUAUCCAGAAACCACUUGUAUCAAACUGACAAUAAUGAUAAAGCAAAUUAUAUACAAGUAGUUUAAUCCUUAGAAAUAAUGUAUGCUAGUAGGCUCUUAUAAUGAAGAUUUAACAGUGUAAUGUGGUGUCCAGAGAUCGUCACUUUAUUCAUAUUUAGAAAUUCAGGAAGCUAUAUCAUUCCUACUUACACCAUACACAAACAAACACUGAAGUCUUUAAAUUUUCCAGUAGACUCAACUAUGGAAGUGAACAGUAAGCAAGAAACAAAAGUUGCUAACGGAGCACAAAAUUAUAUGUAAACUAACCUUAUGUCACAACAAAUAUUUUAAUUCCCACAAAAGAGCAGCAGUAGAAGACAUUUCAUAGCAACAUCAAAAAAAGUGGCCAACCGAUAUCAAAAUAACAGUAAAAGUGUUUAAACUGUACUUCAAAGCAACAAUAAUCAAUCUAAUAGCAUAAAUAUAUAAUAGUUAAACAAAAGCUUAUUCAAUGUAAUAUAGGUGGAAAAUCUGGCUUCACCAACACAUUUGGAACAUUGAUUUAAGGGUGUUAACAUGUUUGGUUUGGAUUUAUGGCUUUUGAAUUUCAUUUUGACCAUCAGUUUGGAAAAUUAUAAUUUUGGAUUUGGGGGUCAACUUUGUAAAAAUGAUGUUUUUUAAAAAAUUUAAUAUUGCCAUUGAGUUUGGUGCAUCGAAUUUAGUGUGGUUACAUAGUUCGUUUGCACAUAUCGGACUCCAAACAAAUCCCGAGCACCUUAUCGAAAUUCACUUGGACUUAAAAAAAUCUGGUGCACUAGGUUGCCUGUGCAACUGAUGCACAUAAGGUAAAUCAGGCUCAGGGAAUGCAUUUUAUGCAUAAAAAGCCCGGUAACCCGGGUACAACAUAAAUAACCCUUUUUGACUUUUCUUUCACCUUUUCUCUUAUGAGAUUAACCCUAAAAUAACAUGAGAGCUUAAAAGUGAAGCUUGUAGGAGCUUGAGAAGCUAGAUUAACAUCUAUUUCUUGAUUCUAUUAUGAAUUUAAAGUGAGAUUUCAUCCUUUCUACUCUAAUUCCUUAAUUAAUUUCUCAAAACCCCAAAAUAUCUUAGGGAUUAAUUUUAAAUCCCAAUUUCACUGAUUUUUACUUGAAUAAUAUUUUAAUCCUAUAAUUACUAGUUUUUCAUCAAUUUAAACUUCAAAACAACUUUGAUCUUGAUUUUAAUGCGGGGUUUAAGGAUUUUACCCGGUAAAUCUUUAAAAUAAUUUUUUUAUUUGAACCUCGUUUUUUACUCGAUUUGACUUGGGUUUUCAUCUAUGAUUUCUAAAAAUAGGAAAAAUAUGUUUUGAAGUAAAGUUGUGAUUUUGCUCUUCUUUUUCAAAAACCUAUUUCAGGGUUCCAUUUUGACCCAAACUAAAAGUAGGCAAUAUGAGUAUCGUUAGCUUUGUUUUGACGUAUAGAUUCUAUAUUUCAUCAUUUUAGUUGAUUUUGGGACCAUUUGUGAGAACUAGGACUUUGUGCUUGAAGUGUUGUAGAUCGAUUUUGGUAUACGAAAUUGAUUAUGAGUUUAACUCAUUCAGACUGGGAUGGGUAGUAAACAUUGGUAUAAAAUGCAUGUUAAGGGUGAGAACUAAUCAUAAAAAUAGCUAUCUAUGUGUUGUGCCCAUGUGGGGGCCUAUAUGUGAUGUAAUUGUUGAAAUUGAGAUAUUAUGUGAUAUGUAUGACCGUGUGGGUUCUAUAUGAUGUUGAUUGCCUUGAAUACACAUAAAUAGUUGUAUUGUGUUAUUACAAAUGCUUACUGUGGUACCUUUGGUGUAUAUAUAUGUGUGUAUAUAUGUAUGUAUAUAUAUAUUCAUACUCUUGACAUAUGAAACAAAUGGAAAUUCAUGGAUGAAUGAAAAUAAUAAGUGGUUAUUGGCUCAUGCGGUUAUGGAAAUGUAUCAUUGUGGUUGGUUGUGAAAAUAUAUCAUGUUGUUUGCUGUGGAAAUACUCAUUAUGAUUGGUUGUAUGCAUUACAUCCUUAUAUCUUACUUAUUCAUAAAACAAAUGGUACCACCUUGGCAACACCUAAGAAAUAAUGGCUACAUUUUUUUAUCAUAUAAAAUAUGACAUCUUAUAAGACCCUCCCUAAGGGAUGUGCUAGGGAGGAGAUAUGGAUAUGGAUGUUGAUAUAUAUAUAUAUAUAUAUAUAUAUGGUUUGACGAAGCCCUUGUGGGUCCCACGUAGGGAGGCUUGCCUCCGUAGAUGUAUACGAGGAUUGUGCGACGACCCCAAAGGUUGUACCACGACCUCAUCCAUCAUGAUUAUCAUCAUCAUCAUAUACAUUACACUUGAUUAAUUUUGUUUAUGAUGUGCUUGUAUCUAUAUACUAGUUCUAUAUCUUGACUUGUUAAUGUCUAAUUGUUCUAUCUCCCUUUACUUGUAAUUGGUGAUCUUGAUUAUACAUAUUUCUAUUUUGUUCUACUUGUAUGUGAUAUUGUGUAUAUUUGUAUCCCUAUCUGGUUGUUGGUUUUUAUGUGUGGAUAUUGUAGAACUGUUAGUGCAAGUGGUGUGGGCUAUCAUUGUGGGAUAUUUUCUGAUUGCAGGUGAUGUGCCCUUAGUGUAUAUUUUGUAUGCUAAGUUUACUAAUUUUCUUGGUCGGCCUAUGAUAUCUACUGAGUACAAGUAGAUCGUACUCACGCCUAUUAUGCCUUUUUGGUGUGGGUCCUAGCUCGAGUGCACCUCAGCUUGCUUGACUCAAGUGAUUAUUGGAGCUUUUAAGAUAGUGGUUGACCUCCAUAAGUUCUGAUGUCUUCUAUUACCUUUCUUAUAGACUAUGUAUUUACUUUUAUUUCUUCGAUAGAGUUUCUCUUGUAUUUGGAUAUCUUAUGUAUUUUAUUUGGAUUUGUGUUGUACUAGAUAGUUCUUACAUAUUUAACAUGUGAUUUUAGAAAUGUAUGGUAUUUGGAUAUAUUCUUUCCACAUUGUUAUAAUUACAUCUAUUAUUUGACUUCAUUCUAAAAGCCCUACCUUGGGGGUAUUUCUAUCUUUUCCCUUUGUGUAUUAUUUUAGGUGAUAGGCUUACUCAUUAAGGUUCGUCGCGAUGAGUGCCAUCAUGAUCCUUGGAUUUUGGGUCAUGACGAAUUGGUAUCAGAGUAGACAGGUUUCAUUAGUCUCAAUGGUGUUAGAACAAAAUGUCUAAUAGAGUCUUGUGGAUCAGUACGUAGACGUCUGUAUCUAUCUUCAAGAAGCUAUAGAAUAUAUUUAGGAAACUUAACUCAAUUUUAUUUCUUACCAUGCGAUGUUCUUUCAUAUCUUGUGUUUUGAGUUGUGUUUCACUUUUUUGUGUAGAUGGUAUUAUUAGGUCCCGCUAGGUUAGAUAUGUGGAGCCUAUUUUUGAAGGGAGAGUUCAAUUGAUAAGGUGAGCCUCGAGUAAUUAAUGGACUCAAGGAAGGGGACAUGCCCGUGGUUCAUCCCUAUCUAGGAGGAGUGCAAGAGGACUCUCCCCUAAGCCUCGUGUUAAGUAGGUUGGAGGUGUGGUCUCUGCUCCAGUUCUUUAGAUUUUGUCUUCCCCAGUGUUGAAGGGAUUGUUGGUGCAUUUACUGACCCAUUUAAAGGUUAUCCAUUGGUUAUGUUGGUUGUUUCUCCGAUUCAGAGUAUGGAUCCUUUGUUGCAUCUGCUUCUGUUUUGGGUACUUCUCAAGGCCUGAGUACUAUUCCACCAUCAGUGUCGACACUUGAGUAUUUGGCACUAAGAUCAAAGGUUCAUCCUUUAUCCGUGUUACCUUCUUAUAUGGGAUCUCAACAUGCUAGAUUUACUAUGCCUCUUCUUUCCAUGAGUACUGUGAUGUCUUCUAGGGAUCAAAAUAGGUUUUAGAGAUUUACUUAUUUUGGUCUUUCUAAGUUCAGUAGUGUUAUGUAGGAGAAUGCCUAUGAGUUUUUGAUUGAUUUUCGAGAGAAAUUGUAUAAUUUAGGUUUGUUAAAGUCGCAUGGAGUGGGAUAUACUACCUAUCAGUUAAGAGAUGUGACUGGAGAUUAGUAGACAUUGGUUGUUGAUUAUAGGCCCAUUGAUGUUCCUGAGAUGUCUUGGCAUCAAUUUGUUGAUGCUUUUCUAGAGACAUUUGUGCCUUAUAGUUUGAGAGAUCGGAUGCGUGAUGAGUUUGACCGACAACAGCAGGGCUCUAUAACUACAAUAGAGUAUGAGGCACACUUUUAUGUCUUUUCCAAAUAUUCCUAUGCUAGUAUUUCCAUCAAGUCUUAGAAAAUUCAGAAAUUUGUAAAGGAUUUAAAUGUCUCUCUUCAGUUGGCUAUAUCACAGAUAGUCAUAUUUGCAGUAUCUAUUUAGAGUAUUGUAGAUCAGGAUAAGAUGACUAAGGGUAUUCUUUAGGCAUCUCAGGGAGGUGCCAAGAAGGUGCACCAUUUUGGUGAGUUUAGAGGCUAGCCUUCUCGUGGUGGAUAUUUCAGAGAUUUUCAUAGAUAUUAUGGUAGAAAAGAGCAGGCGACUUUAUAGAGUUUUGGUGGUGGAUCUUCUGGUUUAGCAGUUUGGGUUAGCCAUUCGAGCCUAACUAUAUCUUCUCAUAUUGAUGUGGGUUAUAGAAGGUGCUAUGUAUGUGAUAAUGUUGGCAAUUUUGGCCAAGGAUUAUCCCCAUUGUAUGAUUAGGGAUACUCCUAUUUCAACUGUGAGGGGUAGGAGUGAUACCAAAAGUUUGAGGGGUAGAGGUAGUAGAGCUCGUGGGGGUAGUCAUAGGGCCGUUCAGGCAUUUUGAGGUCGUGGGGCCAUUCAGACAAUUGGUGGUCAUGGGCAGUGUUAUGCCAAACCGGCCAAAAAUAAGCAGAGGAUUUUAAUGUUGUGAUUACAGGUACCGUCCCCAUUUGUUUCAGAUCUACAUCUAUAUUAUUAGAUCCUAAAUCAACUUUCUCCUAUGUUUUUGUGUAUUUUACUUCGGGUUUUGAUUAUGCAACUGAGCCUCUUUCCAUGUCUAUUCAUGUAUCUACCCCUAUAGAUGAUUCCUAAGUGGUAGACCGGGUGCACCAAUCUUGUGUUGUGACUUUCUCUGGCCGUGAGACUUGGGUAGAUUUACUUGUGUUAGAUAUGGUUGACUUUGAUUUUAUUAUGGGCAUGGAUUGAUUGGCUCCUUAUCUUGUUGUCUUAGAUUAUUCUUCUAAGACCGUGCCUUUAACUUUGCCAGAUGUGCCAAGGAUAACUUGGAAGGAUAUGCUUCAUUCGGGACCUAAGAGGGUUAUAUCCUAUGUUUAGGCUCAUUGAUUGGUUGAGAGGGGAUAUUUAGCUUAUUUGGAUCAUAUUCGUGAUACUAGUAUUAUUUCACCUUGUUUCUUAGAUUCUUUUCGUAUUGUUCAUGAGUUUAUGAAUGUGUUCCUAUCGAUUUACCUGGUAUGCCUCUGAAUAAUGAUAUUGAUUUUGCUAUUGAUGUUAAGCUAGGCACUGAGCCCAUUUUUAUUGCUCCUUAUAGAAUAGCCCCAAUCGAGUUAAAAGAAUUAAAGGAUCAGUUACAAGAGUUGUUGGAUAAGGGAUUUAUUCGAUCUAGUGUAUCGCCUUGGGCUGCACCUGCAUUGUUUGUAAGCAAAAAAAAAAGGAUAGGUCAAUGAGAAUAUGUAUUGAUUAUUGGCAGUUUAACAAGGUGAUGAUUAAGAAUAAGUAUCCUCUUCCUCAUAUUGAUGAUUUACUUGAUCGUCUUCAGGGUGCUAUGGUGUUUUCAAUAAUUGAUUUGAGAUUCGAUUAUCACCAGUUGAGGAUUAGAGCUUUGGAUAUUUCAAAGACAGCUUUUUGGACUCAAUAUGGUCAUUAUGAGUUCUUGAUCAUGUCUUUAAGGUUGACCAAUGCCCCUGUCGCAUUUAUGGAGUUGAUGAAUCAGGUGUUUCGACUGUGUUCCGACUUCUUUGUUAUUGUAUUUAUAGAUGAGAUCUUGGUGUAUUACAAAAGUGAGUUUAAGCUUGAGGAGCAUUUGUGGGUUAUGCUUUAGAGAUUGAAGGAUGAGAAAUUGCAUGCCAAGUUCUCUAAGUGCGAGUUUUGGUUAGAGUCUAUUUCUUUCUUAGGUCAUAUGGUGACUAAGAAGGGUAUUAUAGUUGAUUCGACCAAGAUUGUUGCGGUUCGUAAUUGGGCUAGACCUACUUCACCCACUGAGAUUUAUUGUUUUAUUGGCUUGGCAGGUUAUUAUCCGUAUUUCGUUGAGGAUUUCUCUUCUAAUACAACUCUUUUAACUAAGUUGACUUAGAAAAAGAUAUCUUUUAGUGGUUUGAUGCUUGUGAGGUGAGCUUUCAAAAGCUCAAGGAUUUGUUGACUUCAGCUCUUAUCUUGACUUUUCCCAAGGAGGGCAUGGAUUUUAUCAUCUUUUAUGAUGCUUCAGGUGUUGGGUUAGGUGCUGUUAAUGUAGGAGAGUAAGGUGAUAGUGUAUGCGUCUCAUCAGUUAAAGCCUCAUGAGAGGAGCCAUCCUACCCAUGAUAUAGAGUUAUGCGUGGUUGUGUUUGCUUUGAUAUUAUAGAGGAACAACUUGUGUGGAGCCUAUUGUGAGAUCCUCUCAGAUCAUCGUGUCCUUCAGUACUUCUUUACCUAGCGAGAUCCUAAUAUAAGGUAGCGUCAUUGGAUUGAGUUGCUCAACGAUUAUGACUUGACUAUUCUCUAUCAUCCGGGCAAGGCCAUUGUCGUUGCAGAUGCCUUGAGCUAAAAUUCGACUAGCAUAGGUAGCUUGGCAUAUUUUUUGAUCUAGGAGAGGCCUUUGGCCUCAGAAGUUUAGUCUUUAGCUAACUAGGUAGGUAGGCUUGAUAUUUUGACACCUAAGCAUAUUUUGGAAUUCGUGGAGGCUAGGUCUUUUUAGAUGGAGUAGAUUUAAGCUUAUCAGUUUGAUAAUGCUUGUUUGAGAUCGAUUCGAGAUAAGGUGUUGAGUGGUGAGGCUAAGAAAGCCUCACUUGAUUCAGAUGGAGUUUUAAGGAUUGGGGUUCGAGUUUGUGUGCUGAGAGCGGGUGACUGGAUUAGGUUGAUCUUGGAAGAAGUCCAUUGUUCUAGAUAUUCCAUCUAUCCCGGUGUGACUAAGAUGUAUCAUGAUUGAGACAACACUAUUAGUGUGGGGGUAUGAGGUGAGAUGUAGUAGAUUUUGUGGCUUAUUGCCUAUGUUUUCAGCAGUUGAAGGUCGAUCAUAUGAGACCUGGUGGUUUGCUUCGAGGUUACCUAUUCUUGAGUAAAAGUGCGAACAGAUCACUAUGGACUUUAUGACUGGUUUGCCUCGUACUUAUCAUGGUUCUGAUAGUGUUUGGGUCAUCGUGGAUUGAUUUACCAAGUUAGCCUAUUUUUUUCUAGUUCAGGUUUUAUUUAGUGCCAAGAGAUUGACCUGUAUCUAUAUUUGUGAGAUUAUGCGUUUGCACGGUGUGCCAGUGUCUAUCAUUUGUGGCUCGGUAUUCAUAUCACAUUUUUAAAAGAAAUUUUAAGAUGAGUUGGCACUAGGGUUGAUCUCAGUACAACAUUUUACCCCCAGACUAAUGGUUAGUCAGAGCGAACUAUCCAAGUUUUACAGGAAAUGCUCCACGCACAUCUAAUGGAUUUUAGGUGCCAUUAGGAGCAAUAUUUGGCGCAGAGUUUCCAUAUAAUAAUAACUACAACUCCAGUAUUAAUAUGGCUUAUUUUGAGGUAUUGUAUGGUAGGCAUUAUCGCUCGCCAAUAGGUUGGUUUGAUGUUUCUGAGAUUAGACCUCGAGGUACGGACUUGCUUCAUGAGUCUUUUGAUAGAGUUUGAGUUAUUUAGGAUAACUUACUGGCUUAAAAUUUGCAGAAGUGCUAUGCAGAUCAUAGGCUUGGUGCUUUGAGAUUUGGUGUUGGGGAUUAUUUUUUCCUCUGAGUUUUACCCAUGAAGGGUGUGAUGAGGUUUGGGAAGAGGGGUAAGCUUAUCCCCAGGUAUAUUGGUCCAUUGAGAUUCUUCAGACCAUUGGUGAUGUGGCUUGUGAGUUGACUUUGCCCCCAGAAUUAUCAGUUGUUCAUCCAGUUUUUUAUAUUUUUAUGCUUUGCCAUUACAUUCUUGAUGAGUCUUAUGUCAUCCGUUAGGAGUCAGUUCAAUUCGAUGAGCGGUUGUCUUUCAUUAAAGAUUCAAUCUCCAUUUUGGCUAGGGAUGUUAGACGAUUGUGCUCUAAAGUUAUCCCUAUGGUUAAGGUUCAGUGGGGAUAUUGACUGUAUAUGAGGCUACUUGGGAGAUCGAUUCUGAUAUGCAUAGUUUGUAUCUCCAUCUCUUCGUUGAUUCAGGUAUUUUUCUACCUUAGUUCUAGGACAAGCUAGAUUCUUAGAGGCGGAUGAUGUAACAACCUGAAAAUUUGAUGAACUGUGUGAGAUUUAUGAUUUGACUGUUUUACCCCUCCUCGAAGUUGGAUUGUGUUAUUUCUGGGGGUGUGGGGUGAUUGGCAUGAUUCCCGAUGUAUUUUGGUACCAUUUGUGCGAUAUUGUGGUUUUUAGUGACUUCGAGAAUCUUAUUAUAAACCUGUGUGGUUAGCUUUUGAUCCGUGAAAUGGAUAGUUGAACGAACUAUGACAAUAGCUCCAGAAUAUCAUUUUUAGACUAGGUAGACCUUUGGUUUGGGUUCCAAUGCACCGAGCUCAUUUGAACCUGUUGGUCGAAAAGUUGGUAAGAUUAAAAAUAUAGAUGUGGACCCAUAUUUGAUUAAAACGACCUCGGAUGGAAAAUCCGACUUUGCGAACACAUUCGAAACGUCAAUUUUAAGGUGGUAACAUAUUUGGUUAGGUUUUAUGACUUUUAAAUCUUAUUUCGACCCCCGAUUUGAAAAGUUAUGAUUUUGAAUUUCGAGGGUCAACUCUAUGAAAAUGACAUUUUUUUUUCAAAAAUUUGUUAUUGCCAUUAAGUCCGGAGCAUCAAAUUUAUUGUGGUUACAUAGAUCGUUUGAGUAUAUCGGACUCCGAACGAAUUUCGAGCACCCCAUCAAAAUUUUCUUGAACUUAAAAAUCCAGUGCACCAGUUGCUGGUGCAACCUGAUGCAUAUAAGGUAAAUUGGGCUCAGGGAAUGCGUUUUAUGCAUAAAAUGCCUGGUAACCCAGGUACAACAUAAAUAUCCCUUUUGCUACUUUUUGCACAUUCUUUCACGUUUUCUCUUGAGAGUUUAACCCUAAAAUAGUGUGAGAUCUUAAAAGUGAAGCUUAUGGGAGUUUGGGAAAUUAGAUUAACAUCUAUUUCUUGAUUCUAUUACGGAUUUAAGGUGAGAUUUUAUCAUUUUCUACUCGAGUUCCUUGAUUAAUUUCUCAAAACCCUAAAACAUCUUAAAAAUUGAUUUUAAACCCCAAUGUCACUUCUUUUCACUUGAAUAAUGUUUUAAUCCUAUAAUUACUAGUUUUUCAUCAAUUUAACCUUCAAAAAAACUUCGAUUCUUAAUUUUAACAUGGAUUUUAAGGAUUUUACCUGAUAAACUUAAAAAUGGUUCCUCUUCAAUUUGAACCUCAUUUUUGACUCAAUUUAACUUGGCUUUUCAGUUGUAGAUUUCUAAAAAUAUGGGGAACACAUUUUUGAAGUAAAGUUAUGAUUUUGCCCUUCUUUUUCAAAAACUCAUUUCUAGGGUCCGUUUUGACCCCAAAUCAAAAGUAGGCAAUAUGGGUAUCAUUAGCUUUUUUUAAUGUAUAUAUUCUAUAUUUCUUAGUUUUAGUUGAUUUUGGGACCAUUCAUGAGAAGUAGGAGUGGUUGAAGUGUUGUAGACUGGUUCUGUCAUUCGAAGUAAGUUAUGGCUUAACUUUUUCAAGACUGGGCUAUGCGGUAAAUAUUGGUACCAAAUGCUUGUUAAAGGUGGGAACUAAUAAUGAAAAAUGGUUAUCUAUGUGUUGUUCCUGUGUGUGGGCCUAUAUGUGAUGCAAUUGCUGAAAUUGAGAUAUUAUAUGAUAUGUAUGACCGUGUGGGGUCCUAUAUGACGUUGAUAGACUUGAAGACAUGUAAAUCAUUAUAUCGUGUUAUUGAAAAUGCCUAUUGUGGUACCUUAGUGUAUUGUGAUAUAUAUAUUCAUACUUUUGGCAUAUGAAACAUGUGAAAAUUCAUGGACGAAUGAAAAUAAUAAGUGGUUAUUGAUCACGUGGUUAUGGAAAAGUAUAAUUAUUGUUGGUUGUGGAAAUAUAUCAUGUGGUUGGUUGUGGAAAUACUCACUAUGAUUAAGUGUGAGAAUUACAUCCUCAUAUCAUACUCGUUCGUGCAAAAAUAGUACCACUGUGGCAACACCUGAAAAACACUGACAACACCUAUUUAUAAUAGAAAAUAUGACAUCAUAUAAAACCCUCCUCUAGGGAUGUGCCAGGAAAGAGAUAUGGAUAUGGAUAUAUAUAUAUAUAUAUAUAUAUAUAUAUAUAUAUAUGGAUUGUAUAUGGGUUGAUAACCUCCCUGGGUCCCACGUAGGGAGGCUUGCCUCCAUGGGUGUAUACAGGGAUUCCGCAAUGAUCUCGAAGGUUGUGCAACAACCUCGUGUAUCAUCAUCAUAAUCAUCAUUAUAUACAUUGCACUUGUUUUAUUGUGUUUAUAUUGUGCUUGUAUUGCCAUAUUUACUUUUCAUCUAUCGAUUUGUUCUAUAUUUUGACUUUUUAAUGACGAAUUUUUCUAUCUCCCUUUACUUGUACUGGAUGAUCUUGAUUAUACGUGUUCCUCUUUCAUUCUACUUAAAUAUGAUAUUGUAUAUAUUUGUAUCGCUAUCUGGUGUGCUGUUGUAUUAUGUGUGGAUAUUGUAGAACUAAUAGUGCAAGUGGUGUGGGCUACCGUUGUAGGACAUUUUCUAAUUGUAGGUGACGUGCCCUUAGAGUAUAUUAUGUAUGCUUUAUUUACUACUCUUCUUGGUCUGCCUACUGUACCUACUGAGUACAAGUGGACCGUACUUAUGCCUACUGCGCCCUUUUGGUACAGGUCCUAGCUCGAAUGCGCCUCAACUUGCUUGACUCGGGUGAUUGUUGGAGCUUUCAAGGUAGUGAUUGACCUCCAGAUGUCCGGAUUUCUUCUAUUACCUUUGUUAUAGACUAUGUCUUUACUUUUAUUUCAGAGACAGUGUUUCUCUUGUAUUUGGAUAUCUUAUGUAUUUCAUUUGGAUUCGGGUUAUACUAGAUAAUUUUUACACUAUUGAUACCUGGUUUUGAGAAUGUAUGGUAUUUGGAUAUGUUCUUUCCAAAUUGUUAUAAUACUUGUGUGGGUCGACUUCGUUCUAUAAGCCCUACCUUAGGAGUAUUUCUAUCUUUUCCCCUCUAUGUAUUAAUUGGGUGAUAGGUUUACUCGGCAAGGUUCACCGCAACGAGUUCCAUCAUGACCGUUUGAUUUUGGGUUGUGACAGUACAUUAUGAGAGUUUGCAUUUCUUAUUAAAUAAACUAAGUUUGCAUGUUCCGCCUUGUGUUGCUUCUUUCUGGCAGUUGUGUCAUGGGCUUAUAUUUGUCACGCAGAUGAAAAAAGAGAAGAGCUCCUAUGUAUCUUGGCAUUUACAUUAAGAUAUUUUGAAUUUAGGCAGAAUGUUUGGAAGAACAUAAAGACUUAAGAUUGUUAAUGUACUUGUUAUUUACUAAAGAUUAUAAAUGAGAAACAUUUAUGUAGGUAGUGGCAUAUGAAAAGAACCACAUUUUUAUCUAAGUGUUUGACAUCUGUAUUAAACUUUCAUUUGUUUUAACAAUCAAACUGGGGAAGAAUUUGCUCUUCUCUGUCACUUCAUGACCCCUACUACUCACUUUCUCCAUCUUCCAACGUUCACUACCACUCCAAACUAAUCAUAUCUUUCUAAAUGUGUAAAAUAACCUUAAAAAUAAAUAAACAUGAUAGAACAAAAAUCUAAAUGAACUUAGAACACCCCAAUGGCCGUAUUAAAAGAGUAGUCUUUGAAAUUUUGAAGAAAGAAUACAGAUCAUGCACACAUUAAAGACCAAAAAGAAAACAAAGAAAGUAAAUGAAUGGUGAAGAACAUCAAAUAGAAAGUGUGUAGAAUAAUAUAAUAGCACUCUCUACCAUGAAGUUGGGAAAUCUAAUUAGGAAAAGUUUAGGCAAAAGAUUGAGAUAGAAAUUCAACUGAAAUUACAAAAUUUAAGAUCCACUCCAAAUUUCAGAUUUUAACAAUUGCUCUAUUUUGUUUAACCUUAGGCAUGAAAUAAACAUGAUCCGCAAGAUUUAAAACCUUAGUCAUGAUAUCCAAUCUCAGUUGCUUCUUAACCAACCAAAUCAUAGAAACAAAAUUUCAGAUCUACUCCGAAUUUCAGAUUUUAAUAAUGAAGUUUUAAGAAAAACUUAGUUAUGAAAUAAACAUGAUCCACAAGCUUUUAAUGAAGCUCAAAUAAAAUCAAGUGAAGAAUAAAGAAUAAAUAAAUUACCUGUAAUUUAUAAAAUCAAAAGCUUCGAUGCAGUAAAUUUGGGAGAAGAUGUUAUUUUUAAUCUUAUGCUCGCGAAGGGACA
This 12998-nucleotide long non-coding RNA is filed under the name Capsicum annuum. Its description in RNAcentral is "long non-coding RNA (CANN_LNC015705)". Lineage: Eukaryota; Viridiplantae; Streptophyta; Magnoliopsida; Solanales; Solanaceae. The record is from RNAcentral.